Molecule: non-coding RNA, 378 nt
Organism: Rattus norvegicus (Norway rat)
Lineage: Eukaryota; Metazoa; Chordata; Mammalia; Rodentia; Muridae
Source: RefSeq, a predicted model, not a curated record
GGAUUCAUGGGGGAAUAGAGUUGUAUUUGCUGGAUUCAUGGUGGAGUCUGAGGCUCACAGAAGCUGGAUCUGUUGAGGACAACAGCCAGUCGAUGCCAAGGAAUCUUUGAGGAAAAGAGGACUCCAUGAUGCUAUCAACUCAAUAUUCUCAAUGUUAAAUUGGUUUAAGAAAUUGCCAUAGCUGUUUCAACUAUUGACAACCACAAGACUGACCAGUCAAUAGCCAUCAAAUUUGAGACAUGAACAAAGAACAUCCAUCUACUGGGAAAACAAAAUCACCAUGUCUGCCUGCGUACUACUAUGCUUCCUGCCAUGACAAAUAAUGGACUAAGCCUCUGAAAUUGACAACCGGCCCCAAUUAAAUGUUUUCACUUAUAA